AGAACAACUGACACUGAAUUGUGGGUGACAAAUAGGGAAAGGAAGUGUUUGAAGAGUUUCAGACCAAUAUAAGCCUCUCUGUGGAGGGGGAGAAGGCA
Molecule: long non-coding RNA, 98 nt
Organism: Phyllostomus discolor (pale spear-nosed bat)
Lineage: Eukaryota; Metazoa; Chordata; Mammalia; Chiroptera; Phyllostomidae
Exons: 3
Source: RefSeq, a predicted model, not a curated record